AAUAUAUUGCAGGGGUGCCCAUUAUGGCUGAGAAGAAUUUAAUUCUAACCCUCCGAACCUGAAUCUAGAUAAUGCUAGCGCAGGAAGCAAUGAGUUAUUAUAU
Molecule: non-coding RNA, 103 nt
Filed under: Clostridium colicanis DSM 13634
Lineage: Bacteria; Bacillati; Bacillota; Clostridia; Eubacteriales; Clostridiaceae
Description: TPP riboswitch aptamer (THI element)
Rfam family: TPP riboswitch aptamer (THI element)
About the family: Vitamin B(1) in its active form thiamin pyrophosphate (TPP) is an essential coenzyme that is synthesised by coupling of pyrimidine and thiazole moieties in bacteria. The previously detected thiamin-regulatory element, thi box was extended, resulting in a new, highly conserved RNA secondary structure, the THI element, which is widely distributed in eubacteria and also occurs in some archaea.
Source: Rfam by way of RNAcentral